Molecule: long non-coding RNA, 2377 nt
Organism: Bacillus rossius redtenbacheri
Lineage: Eukaryota; Metazoa; Arthropoda; Insecta; Phasmatodea; Bacillidae
Exons: 2
Source: RefSeq, a predicted model, not a curated record
AUAGAUCAGUGUGAAGCGAGACGUUGCGGGAGGCGGUUGUUUUUGUUAGUUACUGAGUUGUUUGAAAAAUUGUCUGGAAUUGGUUUGUUGUGUUGAAUUUUAAGAAGCAACACCUGAACAUUGAUUUUCGAUGUCACCAUGGGACGCUAUCAAAGAACGACUGAAAGGCAGAGCUGGUCUAAUGAAAGCAUGGUUGGAGCAAUUCAAGAAGUUUUAGAUGGGAAAAUGGGCUACAGAAAAGCAUCUAAAGCCUACAGAGUGCCACAAACUACCUUGGAGAGAAAGGUAAAACAGGCUCGCCAAAAGGGGUUGUCUUCCGAAGCAGCUGCUGAAAAAAGGUUAGGUAGGUAUAAAACAGUUUUCUCAGAUAUUCAAGAACGAGAAUUAGUGGAUCACAUAUUAUUUUUGGAGCAGAGAUUGUUUGGCCUAACUCUCACAGAUUUACGAACGCUCGCAUUUGAGUUAGCUGAAAAAAACAACCUCCCCCAUGUAUUUAAUACAGAAAAGAAAAUAGCUGGGAAGGACUGGUUGUAUGCUUUUCUAAAACGCCAUCCUGCACUAGCUUUACGUGACCCUGAGAAAACUUCAAUGGCAAGAGCAAAGGGCUUCAAUCGUAUAUCAGUCGGCAAAUUCUUUGAUUUGUUGGAAUACCUGUUUAACAAAUAUAAAUUCUCACCCAACGAUGUUUACAAUGUUGAUGAAGGAGGUGUGUUGACAGCACCAAACAAGCCAUCCAAAAUUCUUGCUUUAUGUGGUAAAAAACAGGUAGGAUGUCUGACAUCAGCAGAACGAGGGGUGCUUGUGACAGCAGAAAUAUGUAUGAAUGCUGCAGGUAAUUUCAUGCCCCCUAUGUUUGUGUUUCCUAGAAAGAGAGAAAACCCCCUUUUGAUGGAUGAUGCCCCCCCUGGAUCAUUCGCUGUGUACCACGAGACUGGCUGGAUUACCAAGGAAACAUUCCUUGCUUGGUUCAGGAGGUUUCUAAAGUUUUCUAACCCAGGACCUCAGAAACCAGUGUUGUUAAUCCUUGAUGGCCACAGUUCCCAUACAAAGAGUUUGGAACUGAUAAAUCUUGCUCGAGAAAAUAAUGUUGUGCUGUUGACCUUUCCUCCACACACAACACAUCCUAUGCAGCCCCUCGAUGUGUCAUUCAUGGCACCACUUUCUGCCUUUUAUGAACAAGAGGUUAGAAAAUGGCUGAUAAAUCACCCUGGGCGUUGUGUUACAAUUUAUCAAAUAGGAAAACUGUUCAACUGCAAUAAAAGGAUUCUAAAAAACAGGGAUUUAUCCCUUGAACCAAGAUAUUUUCCCUGAACAUCUAUUUGCACCAUCAGAAACUACAGAACAGCCACUUGGUAGAACUGACAGUUAUGAACAGCAGGAAAUGACAGAUGUUAGGAGCAGUGGUCCUACAGUACUAACAACGGGACUCCAGACAUCAACAUCUUCAUGCAAUUCUAUGAUGGUGGAGGCUCAGCCAUCUAGGCCUACUUCCAGUUCUAUGAUGUUGAAGUCCCAGCCAUCUACUUCUAGUUCUAUGAUGUUGAAGUCCCAGCCAUCUAUUUCCAGGCCUUAUAUGGUGGAGUCUCUGCAAUCAUCUUCCAGACCUACUAUGGUGGAGCCUCAGCCAUCUUCUCCCAAGCCUAACACAAUGAAGGAGUCCCAGCCAUCUACUUCCAGUCCUACACCAAUGGAGGUGUUCCAGGUAUCAACGUCCAAACCUACAACAUUGGAGGAGUCCCAGCCAUCAACUUCCACAUCUACAACAUUGGAAGAGUCCCAGCCAUCAACAUCUAGGUCAUGUGGCUCAGCUUUUAUAAUUUCACCAAAAGUGCUUAUGCCACCUCCCCAGGAAAAAGAACGCAUUAAAAAAGCAAAGAAUGACAAGAGGAGAGGAAAAACACUCAUACUCACUUCAUCCCCUUACAAAGCAGAACUGGAAGUAGAAGAACGGGAAAGGAACACACAAAAAUGUGUUAAACAAAAAACAAAUCUUCUUAAAAUACUUAAUAAAUUUACUAAUCCUAAGAUCAAAAAAAGUAAGCAAAGGAAGGUAGAAAACUCAGCAUCAUCUGAAGAAGAGGAGGAAGAGAAAGAAACAAACGAGGCUUGCAUAUUCUGUAAUGAACUAUACAUACAUUCAAAGAAUAGAGAGACAUGGAUUCAGUGUUGUAGUUGUCAAGGAUGGGCGCAUGAAGCCUGUUCGAGUGCUGAAGAAGAAAAUGACACAUUUAUAUGCGACUUUUGUGCCUAAUAGCUUAAGUAAAGUAAGUGUCUGACUAUCUACAGUGUGAAUAUUCUUUGAAAAACUAAAAAUGACUGAAAUGCAUUUCAUUGCUGAAAUUAGUGUGUCUAAUAAAAAUGUUGUGCAACAUUCUAA